CGGUGUGCAUAGGCAAGAUUGCCUAAUGCUGGAUUUCGUGUGAAACGCUGUAGAGGCGUAGAGCGCCCGAGUGUAGAUGCCCGUAGAGUGCGGAUGUGGAUUCAGCUGAGAGAGUGUAUUGGCAGUAGCAUUUGAGCAUUGCUAGGUGUGAAGCGUGCCAUGAUCACUCGUGGGACUGGUGACUCGCAUUAGGUGCAUAGUAGCCGGUAGUGAUACGUGUGACUCGGUAGAGCAUGUCGUGUAGGACGACGACGGCGGGUAAUGCUUAGGGACGACCCGUGCCUGGACCAUUUGUGGACUGUGGAGCCUGGGCCCAUUGGGCAGGCGCAGUCAGCUGUGAGUGACAGCGGCCCGGUACCUACAGGUAGAGCAGAGUUCUAGUCAGGACGGUGGUCCGAGCUUAGACCCGGGAGCGUGGAAUGCCACGUGAUAGAUUGUGUGGCCGAUGGCACACCGAGU
Molecule: long non-coding RNA, 459 nt
Filed under: Ananas comosus (pineapple)
Lineage: Eukaryota; Viridiplantae; Streptophyta; Magnoliopsida; Poales; Bromeliaceae
Description: long non-coding RNA (ACOM_LNC034590)
Source: RNAcentral